RNAcentral lists this ribosomal RNA (490 nucleotides) under uncultured bacterium. RNAcentral describes it as "partial 16S ribosomal RNA". It matches the Rfam family "Bacterial small subunit ribosomal RNA", at positions 30 to 507 of the family's 1533-position model. The record is from RNAcentral.
AUUGAACGCUGGCGGCAGGCCUAACACAUGCAAGUCGAACGGUAACAGGAAGAAGCUUGCUUCUUUGCUGACGAGUGGCGGACGGGUGAGUAAUGUCUGGGAAACUGCCUGAUGGAGGGGGAUAACUACUGGAAACUGUAGCUAAUACCGCAUAACGUCGCAAGACCAAAGAGGGGGACCUUCGGGCCUCUUGCCAUCGGAUGUGCCCAGAUGGGAUUAGCUAGUAGGUGGGGUAACGGCUCACCUAGGCGACGAUCCCUAGCUGGUCUGAGAGGAUGACCAGCCACACUGGAACUGAGACACGGUCCAGACUCCUACGGGAGGCAGCAGUGGGGAAUAUUGCACAAUGGGCGCAAGCCUGAUGCAGCCAUGCCGCGUGUAUGAAGAAGGCCUUCGGGUUGUAAAGUACUUUCAGCGGGGAGGAAGGGAGUAAAGUUAAUACCUUUACUCAUUGACGUUACCCGCAGAAGAAGCACCGGCUAACUCCGUG